AACCCAAACCCCCAAUAGAGUUUGAUCCCAGCUCAGAACGAACGAAAACGGUGUGCCUACCCCCUGCCCCCCGAGCGGACUUAAAAAGCUUGCUUUUUAAGUUAGCGGCGGACGGGUGAGUAACACGUGGGCAACCUGCCUGUAAGACUGGGAUAACUUCGGGAAACCGGAGCUAAUACCGGAUAAUCCUUUCCUACUCAUGUAGGAAAGCUGAAAGACGGUUUACGCUGUCACUUACAGAUGGGCCCGCGGCGCAUUAGCUAGUUGGUGAGGUAACGGCUCACCAAGGCGACGAUGCGUAGCCGACCUGAGAGGGUGAUCGGCCACACUGGGACUGAGACACGGCCCAGACUCCUACGGGAGGCAGCAGUAGGGAAUCUUCCGCAAUGGACGAAAGUCUGACGGAGCAACGCCGCGUGAGUGAUGAAGGUUUUCGGAUCGUAAAACUCUGUUGUUAGGGAAGAACAAGUACGAGAGUAACUGCUCGUACCUUGACGGUACCUAACCAGAAAGCCACGGCUAACUACGUGCCAGCAGCCGCGGUAAUAUGUAGGUGGCAAGCGUUGUCCGGAAUUCUUGGGCGUAAAGCGCGCGCAGGCGGUCCUUUAAGUCUGAUGUGAAAGCCCACGGCUCAACCGUGGAGGGUCAUUGGAAACUGGGGGACUUGAGUGCAGAAGAGAAGAGUGGAAUUCCACGUGUAGCGGUGAAAUGCGUAGAGAUGUGGAGGAACACCAGUGGCGAAGGCGACUCUUUGGUCUGUAACUGACGCUGAGGCGCGAAAGCGUGGGGAGCAAACAGGAUUAGAUACCCUGGUAGUCCACGCCGUAAACGAUGAGUGCUAAAUGUUAGAGGGUUUCCGCCCUUUAGUGCUGCAGCAAACGCAUAAGCACUCCGCAUGGACACGCCAACGGGAAUA
Molecule: ribosomal RNA, 916 nt
Filed under: Niallia nealsonii
Lineage: Bacteria; Bacillati; Bacillota; Bacilli; Caryophanales; Bacillaceae
Description: bacterial SSU rRNA
Rfam family: Bacterial small subunit ribosomal RNA
Source: RNAcentral